RNAcentral lists this ribosomal RNA (253 nucleotides) under uncultured bacterium. Its description in RNAcentral is "partial 16S ribosomal RNA". It matches the Rfam family "Bacterial small subunit ribosomal RNA", at positions 524 to 776 of the family's 1533-position model. The record is from RNAcentral.
UACGAAGGGGGCUAGCGUUGCUCGGAAUCACUGGGCGUAAAGCGCACGUAGGCGGCUCUUUAAGUCAGGGGUGAAAUCCUGGAGCUCAACUCCAGAACUGCCUUUGAUACUGAGGGGCUCGAGUCCGGGAGAGGUGAGUGGAACUGCGAGUGUAGAGGUGAAAUUCGUAGAUAUUCGCAAGAACACCAGUGGCGAAGGCGGCUCACUGGCCCGGUACUGACGCUGAGGUGCGAAAGCGUGGGGAGCAAACAGG